ACUACUCUGAGCGGUGGAUCACUUGGUUCGUGGGUCGAUGAAGACCGCAGCAAACUGCGCGUCGUAAUGUGAAUUGCAGAGCACGUUGAACAUUGACAAGUCGAACGCAUAUUGCGACUUCGAAUUGUUUCGAAGUCACGUCUGUCUGAGGGUCGGAUA
Molecule: ribosomal RNA, 159 nt
Filed under: Alofia merki
Lineage: Eukaryota; Metazoa; Arthropoda; Ichthyostraca; Porocephalida; Sebekidae
Description: 5.8S ribosomal RNA
Rfam family: 5.8S ribosomal RNA
About the family: 5.8S ribosomal RNA (5.8S rRNA) is a component of the large subunit of the eukaryotic ribosome.
Source: RNAcentral